UACGCUUCUCUAGUUACCCAUGCAUGUUUAUUGAAUAUUAACAAAAGACGAACAGCUCAGUAACUCUUAUUUGAUUUGAUGUAUUAGGAUUCUAACUAUGUUAAAUUAUAGGUAACAAUAAUACAAUAAGAAUAAGAUCUAUCAGUUAGUUGUUAAGGUAAUGGCUUAACAAGACUAUGACGGAUAACGGUAUUACUUUGUAAUAUUCCGGAGAAGGAGCCUGAGAGAUUGCUACUAAGUCUAAGGAUUGCAGCAGGGGCGAAACUUGACCUAUGAUAUUAUAUUGAGGCAGUUAUGAAAGGACGUAAGUAGUAUUUUAUAAUUAUUGUAGUAUUGUAAGUACAUAUUACAAGAUAAAUCGGAGGGCAAAUCGAGUGCCAGCAGCCGCGGUAAUACUUGUUCCGAUAGUGUGUAUGAUGAUUGAUGCAGUUAAAAAGUCUGUAGUUUAUUUAUAAUAAGCAUUGUAAGGGGAUACUGGAUGGGUUGGGAAAAAUCUGAAAUUGGGCACACCCCCUGAAGAUGGGCCUAUGAAAAUCCAAAAGGAAGUAAUGGCUUUAAAAGGGAUUUUUUUCAAGUAUACUUAAAUGUAUUAUUAGAACCAAGGACGUAAGCUAGAGGAUCGAAGAUGAUUAGAUACCAUUGUAGUUUCUAGCAGUAAACUUAUGUGAAUCAUAGAAUAUAUUUUGAUAUAUAUUUAUGUAGAGAAAUUAAGAUUAUAUUGACUCUGGGGAUAGUAUGAUCGCAAGAUUGAAAAUUAAAGAAAUUGACGGAAGAAUACCACAAGGAGUGGAUUGUGCGGCUUAAUUUGACUCAACGCGGGGUAAUUUACCAGGUAUAACAUGGUAUAAUAUUUUAUCAUGAUAGUGGUGCAUGGCCGUUUCCCAAUGGAUGCUGUGAAGUAAUGAUUAAUUUUCAACAAGAUGUGAGAGGAUCAUAAACCCUCAUUUAGACAGAUGUAGUGAUACAUAUGAAGGAGAGGAUUAAAACAGGUCCGUUAUGCCCUAAGAUAAUCUGGGUUGCACGCGCAAUACAAUAAUAUUUGAUAUUAUAAGGGAUAAUAUAAUGUAAGAUAUAUUUGAACAUGGAAUUGCUAGUAAAUUUUAUUUAAUAAGUAGAAUUGAAUGAGUCCCUGUUCUUUGUACACACCGCCCGUCGCUAUCUAAGAUGGUGGAACUAUGAACUUCCUUAUAAAGGAGGAAAGACAGUCUGAAUUCCCCCCCCCCCC
This 1225-nucleotide ribosomal RNA is filed under the name Nosema sp. NIK-1s. RNAcentral describes it as "bacterial SSU rRNA". It matches the Rfam family "Microsporidia small subunit ribosomal RNA". The record is from RNAcentral. Lineage: Eukaryota; Fungi; Microsporidia; Nosematidae.